Molecule: microRNA precursor, 194 nt
Filed under: Oryza glumipatula
Lineage: Eukaryota; Viridiplantae; Streptophyta; Magnoliopsida; Poales; Poaceae
Description: MIR812 microRNA precursor family
Rfam family: MIR812 microRNA precursor family
Source: Rfam by way of RNAcentral
AAAAAAGACAAACUUUGGUUUCCGUGUCUAACGUUUGACCGUCCGUCUUGUUUGAAAAAAUUAAAAACACAAGUCACGUAUAAAAUAUUAAUCAUGUUUUAUCAUCUAACAAUAAUAAAAAUACAAAUUAUAAACAAAAUUCAUAUAAGACGGACAGUCAAAGUUGGACACGAAAACCCAUAGUUUGUCUUUUU